GACGAACGCUGGCGGCGUGCUUAACACAUGCAAGUCGAACGGAAAGGCCUCUUUCGGGGGGUACUCGAGUGGCGAACGGGUGAGUAACACGUGAGUAACCUGCCCUUGACUUUGGGAUAACUUCAGGAAACUGGGGCUAAUACCGGAUAGGAGCUCCUGCUGCAUGGUGGGGGUUGGAAAGUUUCGGCGGUUGGGGAUGGACUCGCGGCUUAUCAGCUUGUUGGUGGGGUAGUGGCUUACCAAGGCUUUGACGGGUAGCCGGCCUGAGAGGGUGACCGGCCACAUUGGGACUGAGAUACGGCCCAGACUCCUACGGGAGGCAGCAGUGGGGAAUAUUGCACAAUGGGUGGAAGCCUGAUGCAGCAACGCCGUGUGCGGGAUGACGGCCUUCGGGUUGUAAACCGCUUUCGCUCAUGACGAAGCUUUGUGUGACGGUAGUGGGCAAAGAAGCACCGGCUAACUACGUG
RNAcentral lists this ribosomal RNA (467 nucleotides) under uncultured bacterium. RNAcentral's name for it is "partial 16S ribosomal RNA". It matches the Rfam family "Bacterial small subunit ribosomal RNA", at positions 28 to 507 of the family's 1533-position model. The record is from RNAcentral.